This 735-nucleotide ribosomal RNA is filed under the name Salmonella enterica subsp. enterica serovar Kentucky. RNAcentral's name for it is "partial 23S ribosomal RNA". It matches the Rfam family "Bacterial large subunit ribosomal RNA", at positions 1 to 668 of the family's 2925-position model. The record is from RNAcentral. Lineage: Bacteria; Pseudomonadati; Pseudomonadota; Gammaproteobacteria; Enterobacterales; Enterobacteriaceae.
GGGUUGUGAGGUUAAGCGACUAAGCGUACACGGUGGAUGCCCUGGCAGUCAGAGGCGAUGAAGGACGUGCUAAUCUGCGAUAAGCGCCGGUAAGGUGAUAUGAACCGUUAUAACCGGCGAUUUCCGAAUGGGGAAACCCAGUGUGACUCGUCACACUAUCAUUAACUGAAUCCAUAGGUUAAUGAGGCGAACCGGGGGAACUGAAACAUCUAAGUACCCCGAGGAAAAGAAAUCAACCGAGAUUCCCCCAGUAGCGGCGAGCGAACGGGGAGGAGCCCAGAGCCUGAAUCAGCAUGUGUGUUAGUGGAAGCGUCUGGAAAGGCGCGCGAUACAGGGUGACAGCCCCGUACACAAAAGCGCAUGUGUUGUGAGCUCGAUGAGUAGGGCGGGACACGUGGUAUCCUGUCUGAAUAUGGGGGGACCAUCCUCCAAGGCUAAAUACUCCUGACUGACCGAUAGUGAACCAGUACCGUGAGGGAAAGGCGAAAAGAACCCCGGCGAGGGGAGUGAAAAAGAACCUGAAACCGUGUACGUACAAGCAGUGGGAGCCCCACCACUAAGCCAGUGGUGAACUCCACAUACGCAUCCUUUGCUGAAGGUGCGGUUAACGGAGCGCAAGCGACGUUCAACCUCAAAAGAAGCAGAGGGGGCUUAGUGGUGGGGUGACUGCGUACCUUUUGUAUAAUGGGUCAGCGACUUAUAUUCUGUAGCAAGGUUAACCGCAUAGGGGAGCCG